AGCGAACGCUGGCGGCAGGCUUAACACAUGCAAGUCGAGCGCCCGUAGCAAUACGGGAGCGGCAGACGGGAGAGUAACACGUGGGAACAUGCCCUUCGGUUCGGAAUAACUCAGGGAAACUUGAGCUAAUACCGGAUACGUCCGUAAGGAGAAAGAUUUAUCGCCGAAGGAUUGGCCCGCGUCCGAUUAGCUUGUUGGUGAGGUAAUGGCUCACCAAGGCGACGAUCGGUAGCUGGUCUGAGAGGAUGAUCAGCCUCACUGGGACUGAGACACGGCCCAGACUCCUACGGGAGGCAGCAGUGGGGAAUAUUGGACAAUGGGCGAAAGCCUGAUCCAGCCAUGCCGCGUGGGUGAUGAAGGCCUUAGGGUUGUAAAGCCCUUUCGGCGGGGAAGAUAAUGACGGUACCCGCAGAAGAAGCCCCGGCUAACUUCGUGCC
This 437-nucleotide ribosomal RNA is filed under the name uncultured bacterium. RNAcentral's name for it is "bacterial SSU rRNA". It matches the Rfam family "Bacterial small subunit ribosomal RNA", at positions 29 to 509 of the family's 1533-position model. The record is from RNAcentral.